CAAGCUCGGAGGCUCUCCUUCCUCCGGGAUAACGGCCUUUUCCUCAGAAGAAACAACAACGGGACACCCGAAGCGGCGGCUGGAUAAAGUGGAGUGCGACCAGGGGGGAGAUGCGGCUCCCGGGCAGUUGAACAGCUUUCGGAACGCAUUGACCAUAAAAGGAAGGUGUAACUCGGGCCUUUGCCUAGAUUGGGAACAAUUAACCUGUCUUAGAAGCAAUUGAAUAAUUUCAAAACAUUCUGCAGAUGCAGAUUAUAUAACCAACACAAUGAUUGCAACAAAACUAAAACAAAAAACAAUUGACAAGUCACCUCUGGGAACAAGGAAGAAAGGAGGAAAGCAAAACAGAUAUGAAGCUAACCCAAUGGUUUUAAUGCCUGCAACUCCCAAAGAAACCAUUACACAAUAUUCUCUGGGUCUUACCACAGGAAACAAAGAUAGAAUGUUUGAUGAAAUGGAUAUGCUUAGGAAUAUUACAACAAAUCUAAAUGAGAUUGUACAUACAAUGGAAGGUGUCUAUAGAAAGGAAAGUCAAGAUAAAGAAAGAAAAGAGGAGGAGGAGGAGGAAGAGGAAGAA
Molecule: long non-coding RNA, 577 nt
Organism: Thamnophis elegans (Western terrestrial garter snake)
Lineage: Eukaryota; Metazoa; Chordata; Lepidosauria; Squamata; Natricidae
Exons: 4
Source: RefSeq, a predicted model, not a curated record